GUGAAGCUAAUUUGGCAAGGAGUUCUACGAACAUGAAUUGACCACAAGGUCAGGGCUUUGUAGUAACAGGCUUUUUAUACAUGUCUUAUCAUUAUCCACUGUUUUAAGAGGCAAGGAGUUGAAAAGUUUGGAUUAUUUGUCUGGAUAAGAAUUUCUGUAUCCCUGAACCGGGAAAAGAUAAUCACUUGAAUGGAAUUAAUAUAUUAUUUUCCAUUCUUGAAAAUAGAGAAUAUUAUGGUUGUUCAUGUUCACACUGUUACAACAGAAGACGAAAAGUUAUGACAUUACCC
Molecule: long non-coding RNA, 290 nt
Filed under: Panax ginseng (ginseng)
Lineage: Eukaryota; Viridiplantae; Streptophyta; Magnoliopsida; Apiales; Araliaceae
Description: long non-coding RNA (PGIN_LNC018954)
Source: RNAcentral